RNAcentral lists this small nuclear RNA (113 nucleotides) under Vicugna pacos (alpaca). RNAcentral describes it as "U4 spliceosomal RNA (ENSVPAG00000015925.1)". It matches the Rfam family "U4 spliceosomal RNA". From Rfam's summary of the family: U4 small nuclear RNA (U4 snRNA) is a component of the major U2-dependent spliceosome. The structure of U4 snRNA from yeast and human has been reported. Lineage: Eukaryota; Metazoa; Chordata; Mammalia; Artiodactyla; Camelidae. The record is from Rfam by way of RNAcentral.
AGCUUUGUGCAGUGGGCGUAUCAUAGCCAGAGAGGUUUAUCUGAGGUGUGCUUAUUGCUAAUUGAAAACUUUUCCCAUUGCCCUCCCGUGACGACUUGAAAGAUGUAAUAAUC